Molecule: small nuclear RNA, 116 nt
Organism: Pseudophryne corroboree (corroboree frog)
Lineage: Eukaryota; Metazoa; Chordata; Amphibia; Anura; Myobatrachidae
Product: U5 spliceosomal RNA
Exons: 1
Source: RefSeq, a predicted model, not a curated record
AUGCUGUGGUUUGUCUUCAGAAAAAAAAAAUAUUUUGCCUUUUACUAAAGAUUUCCGUGGAGAGGAGCAAAACUGAGUUUUAUCUCUAUUUUUGCAUGUCCUAUCUUAUUGGGGUU